This 373-nucleotide small RNA is filed under the name Pongo abelii (Sumatran orangutan). RNAcentral describes it as "processed transcript". The record is from RNAcentral. Lineage: Eukaryota; Metazoa; Chordata; Mammalia; Primates; Hominidae.
AGAUGGCCUGGGCCGCAUCCGAGACCAACUCUCUGCCGUGGCCACUGGAGAGCAGAAGGCCCAUCUUUGAAAAGCUCCUGAGUGCAACUUAAUUACCACCAUGGCAGGAACACAUGGAGGGAAUCAGACAGGUGAUGCCAGCAGUUCCCGCUCCUCUGUCAGGGAAGCCAGGCAGAGCCCACAGAGCAUGGUCCAUCCAGAGUGUUCCCUGAGCCCCCUCCACCAUACUGGAACCCCUCUUCAGUGUAGAAAGUCUGAAAUGGGUGCUAAUUCCCUUCUUCAUGAAACCAGGGCCCUCUUCCUUCAUCUAAUGCAGCCACUCCUAGGUGAAUAAGUGGAAAUAAUUGGAAAUAAACAACAGUUCUAAAACUUC